GUUGUAGGAGGAGCUGUUGGACUGGCGUUUGAACUUCCUGAGGCGAUUGACAACUGGAAAGAGCUGAUCAAGAAUAAUCAUGUGACUGAAGCGAGCCAAUCACUGAGAGAUACAGCUAAGGCCAUUGAAAAGAUCUGCCAGACACUGAGGGAACAGUUCGACAACAUGAAGUAAGAAGUUUUCUGUGAUUGUCCACCUAGAUUCUCUCCUCCUGUAGAUCUGAGAACAGCAGCUGGACUCAUUUAGAUUCAUGUUACUUCAAAUACUGACUGCUUGUCCUGCUGGAAAACCCAUCCAAAGAAACUUUACUUUACUGUCCACCUGUAUAGUCAGACCACUGACUAUACAGGUGGACACCGAUACAGACUUUAUCAGGUAUCGACCGUGUCAGGAUAUUCAGGCUUCAUUUUUGUACAGUGGGAGGAAGUGGAGACGUCCAUCUUUUAUAUGUAGAUGAGCCAUACUCAUACAUACUCAUAUUUUUACUAGAAAAUGGAUAAAUCUGUAGCAAGACCUACAAAAAGUUUUCAACAUGACAAAUAAUCACUUCCAGACACUGAAGCUAACAACAUGCUCGCUAGCAGAUUCACAGACGAUUUCAUUGGACACAUUUUGACAGGGGAUGGAACGGUUGACAACGUUGCUUUCAGUUGGGUUCAAACCUUUCUAUCUCUAAUUUUGAUACAGGUCAUUACUUCCCAACAUUUACAUGAACAUCGUUUCAGGGUAAAAUGUUUGCUCGCAACCACUGAUGUUGAUUUAUGCUAACUGUCAUUUCAUUUGUUUUAUUCACAGAAAGAUGUUACAAGAGAUGGACAAAAGACAACAAGAAGAAGAGGAGAAGGCUAAAAGACGACAAGAAGAAGAGAAGAAGGCUAAAAGACGACGAGAGGAAGAGGAGAAGGCUAAAAGACGACAAGAAGAAGUUGAUCAAACAAAUCAAAAUAAAGAGACAGAAAGUGGUCAGCAGGGAGGGGGUGAUCAGGGAGAUAAGGAGAGUGAUAGGGACGAUGAGGAGAGUGAUCAGGAGGAUGAGGAGAGUGAUUGUGAAGAUGAGGAGAGUGAUCAGGAGGAUGAGGAGAGUGAUUGUGAAGAUGAGGAGAGUGAUCAGGAGGAUGAGGAGAGUGAUUGUGAAGAUGAGGAGAGUGAUCAGGAGGAUGAGGAGAGUGAUUGUGAAGAUGAGGAGAGUGAUCAGGAGGAUGAGGAGAGUGAUUGUGAAGAUGAGGAGAGUGAUCAGGAGACGGAUAGUGAGGAAGAGACAGAGGAAGAUGAACGCAAGCAGACUGGUAGAAAAAGGACAAAGCGCCAUCGAAAGAAGGGCACUCGAAGUAAACAAAGAGGAGACAGUGAGGACAGUUGUAUUGACCAAGACCAGAGAACCAUCCAGACACCUCCUGGAACUAUAAGAGGGGCGCUACUCAAUGUUUGUUCACUGGAAAAGAAACGAGACCCUGAAAAAAAAAAAAAAGAUCUUAAAGCUCAUACCAAAAAACAACCUGGACCUCUUUCUCACAACAGAGACGUUGUUACGAGAAGACAAUGCAGACUCAGUCCUCAGGGAGGUUUCACCACCGAAUUACACUACAGAUUAUCAGUUCUGCAUCAUGAUGAGUGGAACCAGCCGGUCCCUGUCAUCAAUGUGUAUCACCCACCGGGGUACAACAGGGACCAGUUCCGUACAUUUCUGGAUGAGUUUGAAACGCUCUUGGCUCAUUUCAACAACUACAACAGCAUCAUUGUGACUGGAGAUUUCAAUAUCUGGGUCGAUCAGGAAAGGAGGUCUUUCACUGAUGAGUUUUAUCAUAUUUGGCCGAUCUACAACCUCGAGCAGCAUGUACGGGAGCCAACACACCGGGCAGGUCACACUCUGGAUCUCGUCCUCACCAGAAAUGUUGAAAUCUCUGAUCUUGUUGUCCGAGAUGAUGGAAUAUCAGAUCAUUACACCGUAUAUUUCAAUGCAAAGCCAGUGUCAAAGGAGAGUCAGGAGAAAACUAAAGAAAACAAGGAUCAAGACGAGCAGCCAAAACGAUUGAAAAAGAGCGAAGAAUAGAAAAUGUUUCAGUAUUUUUACACUUCUGACCUGAAAAUAUUGCAUUCAGUUGGUUUCAAAAAGUAGCUGAGUAAGUGUGACAAGAUAGAUAAAAAUGUCUCAUUCUAAGGUAACAAAAACACAACAAUUCUUAUUUUCAGCUGAUUAUACACUAAUAAAAACAUACCUAUGAAUAUUAUAUUCUAUUUCUGACAAUAGAUCUCUAAGUGCCUUAAUUUGGUAUUUAUUAGUUCUCUGCACUAAUAAUCGUAUGGAUGCGUAAUCAGCCGUUUGCUAGCUAAUUGAUGCCAUUGGCCAUAUUGUGGAGGAUGUGUAGUUGAUGCCUUAUUGUUGUACAUUACUGAUUGUAAACUACCUGGUCUGGAUAAACUUAUAUGGUUGAUAUGGAUUUGCUACACAUCUGUACAUCAGUUAGAUUCUCCACAGUUGAAUCCUUCACUUCAUUUUAUAUAAACUAAUCAAAUCAUCAAAUCUGUGAUCGGUGAUUGAUAAUGUUGUUGAAUACAAGUGGUUCUAUUUGUUUUGUAUUAUAACACCAUAUGUGAGUCUAAUGGAAAUGUGAUGUAGCCUGUGAGUGUAAGGAACGUAACAACUUGUAAUAUAGAUUGUACUAAUUAUGGUCAUUUAUCUUUCUUCCACUUUUCUACGAUCAAUAAAUAACCAAAAUGAACAUUUGUCUGGAGUGCUUUCUGAGCGAUGCCCCCUGGUGGCCACAACAAUAAUAAACCAGUCAAAUCAAACAGUCAAAAUCAAACCUUCAUUGAUUCAAAUCUAGAGUUAAAAAGCACCAAGUUCUAAACAGUGGAUGGUAAACAGUCAGUGUAUGACAGCUUCUGAUUAUAGAUUAUUGAUUGAAUUCAAUUCAAUUCAAUUUUAUUUGUAUAGCACCAAUUCAUAACAGAAGUUAUCUCAGGACACUUUUCAAACAGAGCAGGUCUAGACCGAACUCUUUAAAACAUUAUUUACAGAGACCCAACAGUACCACCAUGAGCAAGACCUUGGAGACAAGGGCAAGGAAACACUGCCUGUUAAAAGGCAGAAACCUAGGACAGAUCCUCCGGCUCUAGGUGGGUGGUCGUCUGUCUCGACCAGUUGGGGUGAGAGAGGAGAGAGAGAGAGAGAGAGAGAGAGAGAGAGAGAGGCAGAGACAGAGACAGAGACAGAGACAGAGACAGAGACAGAGACAGACAGACAGACAGACAGACAGGUGCACAGCAACAACAGUAUUGGCAAUGGCAAUCUAGCAGGACCAUGGCAGGAGGCUCCACCAGGAUCGACAAGACCCUGCGAGACGAGAAAGCACAAGAACUCCGGGGAAGAAGUGAAGUUAGUAACAUGCAUUAAUGGAACAUGAAUGAGUGCAGAAAGAGAGAGGAAGAGAGGAGCUCAGUGCACCAUGGGAAAUCCCCCGAUGGUCUAGGCCUAUAGCAGCAUAACUAAGGGAUGGUUCAGGACUCACCUGAUCCAGCCCUAACUAUAAGCUUUAUCAAAGAGGAAUGUCUUAAGCCUACUCUUGAAUGUGGUGAGGGUGUCUGCCUCCCGAACCACAACUGGAAGCUGGUUCCACAGGAGAGGAGCUUGGUAACUGAAGGCUCUGGCUCCUGUUCUACUUUUAGAGACUAUAGGAACCACAAGUAGCCCAGCAUUCAGAGAACGUAGUGUUCUAGAGGGGUAAUAGGGUACUAUGAGCUCUUUAAGAUAUGAAGGGGCCUGACCAUGAAGAGCUUUAUAGGUGAGGAGGAGAAUCAACUCCAUAUAGAACAUGGCUCUAGAGUUUAUACACUGUUUAAUGAUUAUAGAUUACAGAUUAUAGAUUCAACGUUCUCAUUCUAAGCAAACCAAAUACUGUUCUCAAAUUAAAGUUUCUUUGCUAACAUGCAGACAGCGACUCGCUGCUGAAUAUUUAUCAGUUAAUUUUGUGAAUCCACAUGAACUCUUCACAUCAACAUCAAAUAGAUCCACUGCACAGCACUUAUGUUCUGGCUAUAGAGCCAUGAGUCCUGAUGCUGUGCUCCUCCAGGCCCUGCCGUCCCUCUGCAGCCAGUAGUAGUGCGGGGCUGUCCCCAAUCAUUAAUCAGGGCUGGGUGUCGAUAAUCUGGGAACAGAGUUACAGCUGCUGUGUGUCGGUGUGUCUGUGUGAAUAGAGCUGUGUUAAACAUUAAACUGAAAGCGGUACUCCUCCCUGCUAGAGGGAUUGUUCGAUUGCUUCAUUGAGUUUGUUAAAGUACUUACAAAUAUGUAGUUACACAGGAUCGGCUUCUCCUUGGGCUUUCCUCCUUGUUCUAUUCAGUUUCUGUUGAUUGCUAAUAAAAAAUCCUUGUUUGUAUUGAAGUAAACUUUUCUUGGUUCUUUCCUGCAGGGUACAUUAUUUAUGUGUUACUCCCCAUUAUCACUGGUCAUCUCAUUAUCUCUUUCUUCCAAGACAGCGGCAAACACUAAGAGGAAAUGUAGAAGUUGAGUUCUCAUUAAAACUAAAUUUUGACUGGGAUGUUAACUGUACGUCAAAUGAAUUAGAGCAUAGAUUGGAUUCACUGUGUAUAUCUAUACAGUGUGUGUGUGUGUGUGUGUGUAUGUGUGUGUGUGUAUUCACAGGAGGUUAUGCUAGCUGUUGCUAACCCUCUACUUAGUAUG
Molecule: long non-coding RNA, 4681 nt
Organism: Dicentrarchus labrax (European seabass)
Lineage: Eukaryota; Metazoa; Chordata; Actinopteri; Moronidae
Source: Ensembl